AAUGAACGCUGGCGGCGUGCUUAACACAUGCAAGUCGAACGAGAAAGCCUUGGCUUGCCAGGGCGAGUAAAGUGGCGCACGGGUGAGUAACGCGUGGGUAAUCUACCCUUGAAUCGGGGAUAACCCUUCGAAAGGGGGGCUAAGACCGGAUGAUAUCGGAUUUACUUAGGUGGAUUCGAUCAAAUAUGGCCUCUACAUGUAAGCUAUAGUUUGGGGAUGAGCCCGCGUACCAUUAGCUAGUUGGUAGGGUAACGGCCUACCAAGGCAACGAUGGUUAGCUGGUCUGAGAGGAUGAUCAGCCACACUGGAACUGACACACGGUCCAGACUCCUACGGGUGGCAG
RNAcentral lists this ribosomal RNA (343 nucleotides) under uncultured Pseudomonadota bacterium. Its description in RNAcentral is "bacterial SSU rRNA". It matches the Rfam family "Bacterial small subunit ribosomal RNA", at positions 29 to 351 of the family's 1533-position model. Lineage: Bacteria; Pseudomonadati; Pseudomonadota. The record is from RNAcentral.